Molecule: ribosomal RNA, 254 nt
Filed under: uncultured bacterium
Lineage: Bacteria
Description: partial 16S ribosomal RNA
Rfam family: Bacterial small subunit ribosomal RNA
Source: RNAcentral
CACGUAGGGGGCGAGCGUUGUCCGGAUUUAUUGGGCGUAAAGAGCUCGUAGGCGGUUUCGUAAGUCGGAUGUGAAAACUCCAGGCUCAACUUGGAGACGCCAUUCGAUACUGCGAUGACUUGAGUCCGGUAGGGGAGUGUGGAAUUCCUGGUGUAGCGGUGAAAUGCGUAGAUAUUGGGAGGAACACCAGUGGCGAAGGCGGCUCGCUGGACCGGAACUGACGCUGAGGCGCGAAAGCGUGGGGAGCAAACAGG